GUGCAGUCAAUUAAGCCGACCAACCACUGGUGCUGUCAGUGGCUGGUGUGCACUGUCUGCACACAACAAUAUUCCCUCGGUUGUGUACGUGCCCUGUUCGUUGUACAGUGCACCUUAAGGGACCUUGGGAACAUAG
Small nucleolar RNA from Candoia aspera, 136 nucleotides. RefSeq annotates it as small nucleolar RNA SNORA70. The record is from RefSeq and is a predicted model, not a curated record. The transcript has a single exon. Lineage: Eukaryota; Metazoa; Chordata; Lepidosauria; Squamata; Candoiidae.